CGACAAGCGGUGGAGCAUGUGGUUUAAUUCGAUGAUACGCGAGGAACCUUACCUGGGCUCAAAUGUAUGUUGACGUAUUCUGAAAGGGAUACUUCUUCGGACAAUAUACAAGGUGCUGCAUGGUUGUCGUCAGCUCGUGCCGUGAGGUGUCGGGUUAAGUCCCAUAACGAGCGCAACCCCUAUCAUUAGUUGCCAUCAGGUCAAGCUGGGGACUCUAAUGAAACUGCCUACGCAAGUAGUGAGGAAGGUGGGGAUGACGUCAAAUCAGCACGGCCCUUACGUCCAGGGCUACACACGUGCUACAAUGGCCGGUACAAAGGGCAGCCACCCCGCGAGGGGGCGCGAAUCCCGAAAGCCGGUCCCAGUUCGGAUCGGAGUCUGCAACCCGACUCCGUGAAGCUGGAUUCGCUAGUAAUCGCGCAUCAGCCACGGCGCGGUGAAUACGUUCCCGGGCCUU
This 457-nucleotide ribosomal RNA is filed under the name uncultured Sphingobacteriales bacterium. Its description in RNAcentral is "bacterial SSU rRNA". It matches the Rfam family "Bacterial small subunit ribosomal RNA", at positions 922 to 1382 of the family's 1533-position model. Lineage: Bacteria; Pseudomonadati; Bacteroidota; Sphingobacteriia; Sphingobacteriales. The record is from RNAcentral.